This 397-nucleotide ribosomal RNA is filed under the name uncultured Sebacinales. RNAcentral's name for it is "eukaryotic LSU rRNA". The stretch from base 1 to 105 matches the Rfam family "5.8S ribosomal RNA", at positions 50 to 154 of the family's 154-position model. Lineage: Eukaryota; Fungi; Basidiomycota; Agaricomycetes; Sebacinales. The record is from RNAcentral.
GAAAUGCGAUAAGUAAUGUGAAUUGCAGAAUUCAGUGAAUCAUCGAAUCUUUGAACGCACCUUGCACCCUUUGGUAUUCCAAAGGGUACACCCGUUUGAGCGUCAUUGUAAUCCUCACCUCUUUGGUAUUUUUGGAUGCCCAAGAGAAGUGGAAAUGGAUGUUGCCGUGUUUCUAGAUGCGGCUCAUCUGAAAAGUCUCAGUGCAUGGCCGUGACAGGCUAGAGGUGCUUGAUGUGAUAAUUAAUUCAUCAUUGUAAUCCUCUUAAAGUUCUGACUCGGUAUUGGUGUGCUAUACAACAGUCCAGCUCAGGACAAACUUACAUUGACAAUUUGACCUCAAAUCGGGUGGGACUACCCGCUGAACUUAAGCAUAUCAAUAAGCGGAGGAAAAGAAACU